Molecule: long non-coding RNA, 274 nt
Organism: Ailuropoda melanoleuca (giant panda)
Lineage: Eukaryota; Metazoa; Chordata; Mammalia; Carnivora; Ursidae
Exons: 3
Source: RefSeq, a predicted model, not a curated record
AGAGAAUGUCAGAUCCAGAAGGAGUCUGAGGAAUUGCUCCACGGGUUUAGGACCUCCCCUGCUUUGUGUAUGGGGACUGUUCUUGAAAUUAUGGGGAAAACUUGAUAUUGGAUAAGACCUGUGAUUCAGGGCCUCUCUGACUCUUCUGGAUGUCAUCCUUGGUCUGCAGUUCUGUUUAAAACUUCACGUCAAAGUAAAAAUUUCCCCAGACAAAGUUAAACAGCAAAGCAAUAUGCUAUGAUAUCUAUGGGACAGUAUGCCAGCUUCCUUCACU